GUGGAAGAACAUUGCAGGUCGCCUGGCUCAGUGCUGUAUAUGCUGGAACUCAGCUGUCCCUUCCUGCAGGAAAGCUUCACUCUAUGCUGGUGACGCUCCCUCCAUCCUGUUUAGCCCCCCAGACUGAAAGCCACUUGAGACCUGAAACUGCCUGUGCCUUGUUCAUCAUUUUAUCCCCUUCGUCUAGUCCAGUACUGUCACAAAGAAGGCACUUUACGCUGGUUAGAAACAUUUCUCUUCUCCCUACGAGGGC
Suricata suricatta (meerkat) is the source of this 253-nucleotide long non-coding RNA. RefSeq lists it as uncharacterized. The transcript has 3 exons. The record is from RefSeq and is a predicted model, not a curated record. Lineage: Eukaryota; Metazoa; Chordata; Mammalia; Carnivora; Herpestidae.